Molecule: ribosomal RNA, 774 nt
Filed under: Salmonella enterica subsp. enterica serovar Oranienburg
Lineage: Bacteria; Pseudomonadati; Pseudomonadota; Gammaproteobacteria; Enterobacterales; Enterobacteriaceae
Also listed under: 1 other name
Description: bacterial LSU rRNA
Rfam family: Bacterial large subunit ribosomal RNA
Source: RNAcentral
GUCUGAAUAUGGGGGGACCAUCCUCCAAGGCUAAAUACUCCUGACUGACCGAUAGUGAACCAGUACCGUGAGGGAAAGGCGAAAAGAACCCCGGCGAGGGGAGUGAAAAAGAACCUGAAACCGUGUACGUACAAGCAGUGGGAGCACCCUUUGGGGUGUGACUGCGUACCUUUUGUAUAAUGGGUCAGCGACUUAUAUUCUGUAGCAAGGUUAACCGUAUAGGGGAGCCGGAGGGAAACCGAGUCUUAACCGGGCGUUAAGUUGCAGGGUAUAGACCCGAAACCCGGUGAUCUAGCCAUGGGCAGGUUGAAGGUUGGGUAACACUAACUGGAGGACCGAACCGACUAAUGUUGAAAAAUUAGCGGAUGACCUGUGGCUGGGGGUGAAAGGCCAAUCAAACCGGGAGAUAGCUGGUUCUCCCCGAAAGCUAUUUAGGUAGCGCCUCGUGAAUUCAUCUCCGGGGGUAGAGCACUGUUUCGGCUAGGGGGCCAUCCCGGCUUACCAACCCGAUGCAAACUGCGAAUACCGGAGAAUGUUAUCACGGGAGACACACGGCGGGUGCUAACGUCCGUCGUGAAGAGGGAAACAACCCAGACCGCCAGCUAAGGUCCCAAAGUCAUGGUUAAGUGGGAAACGAUGUGGGAAGGCCCAGACAGCCAGGAUGUUGGCUUAGAAGCAGCCAUCAUUUAAAGAAAGCGUAAUAGCUCACUGGUCGAGUCGGCCUGCGCGGAAGAUGUAACGGGGCUAAACCAUGCACCGAAGCUGCGGCAGCGA